RNAcentral lists this long non-coding RNA (3229 nucleotides) under Olea europaea (common olive). RNAcentral describes it as "long non-coding RNA (OEUR_LNC015161)". The record is from RNAcentral. Lineage: Eukaryota; Viridiplantae; Streptophyta; Magnoliopsida; Lamiales; Oleaceae.
GGCUUGCUCGGGGGCAAGGCUUAAAUUGGCUUGUCAAGGACAAGGCUUGAAUUGGCUUGCUCGGGGGCAAGGCUUAAAUUGGCUUGUCCAGGACAAGGCUUGAAUUGGCUUGCUCGGGUGCAAGGCUUAAAUUGGCUUGUCCAGGACAAGGCUUGAAUUGGCCUGCUCGGGGGCAAGGCUUAAAUUGGCUUGUCAAGGACAAGGCUUGAAGGGGCUUGCUCGGGGGCAAGGCUUAAAUUGGCUUGUCAAGGACAAGGCUUAAAGGGGCUUGCUCGGGGGCAAGGCUUAAAUUGGCUUGUCAAGGACAAGGCUUGAAUUGGCUUGCUCCAGGACAAGGCUUGAAUUGGCUUGCUCGGGGGCAAGGCUUAAAUUGGCUUGUCAAGGACAAGGCUUGAAGGGGCUUGCUCGGGGGCAAGGCUUAAAUUGGCUUGUCAAGGACAAGGCUUGAAUUGGCUUGCUCCAGGACAAGGCUUGGAGGGGCUGUUAUACCCGAUGUUUGGAUUUAUUAAUUGUUUGGACUGGACUUGGAUUUAUAUUGCAUCCAAGCUGCCUACGUACCCAAACGGGAUCAAGUCGAACGUAGUUCGUUACAAAAGAGAACGGAAAAUAUGCAUGGGCACGCAGACCCGCUAAACUAGAAAUAAAAUGCAGGAAAAGAAAAUCUCCUUAAAGGUGUCGGGAAUUUUACUUGUAAUAUAUUUUCAAAUUGUCGGCAUUCCAGGGCCUCGGAAGAGGUCUACCCGAAGUGUCUCUUAGGCUGUAUGCUCCUUUGCGAACCUGCCGUAUGACCUCAAAGGGCCCUUCCCAGACGGGCCCGAGCUUCCCUGGGGGAUGGCCUGCUGCUUCGGCCCUCCUCAAGACCAAAUCGCCAGCUCUGAACCUCCGAUCCUUGACUUUGCGAUUAAAAUGUUUUGCUGUCUUUGCUUGGUAAGAGGCCACUUUUAUAGCGGCUUGCUCCCGAACUUCUUCCAAGAGAUCAAGAUGUUCAGUUGUAUGUUCCGAGGUUUCUGGCACGAGCCUCCUAUGGCUUGGCAGUCUAAUUUCCACUGGGACCAUCGCUUCAACGCCAUAGGCUAACAUAAAAGGGGUUUCUCCUGUGGUUGUCCUAUGAGUUGUUCUGUACGUCCAAAGUAUAGAAGGCAGCUCGUCGGACCAAGAACCCCUAGCAUCACUUAUUCUUGUUCGGAGGUCUUGCAAUAUGAUUCGAUUUGUUACCUCGGCCAGACCGUUGCUCUGAGGAUGCGAAACUGACGUCAGACGGUGAUCAAUCCCAAGGUUUGAGCAAAAGUUUCUAAACUGUUGGUUGUCAAAUUGCCUGCCAUUGUCGGUGAUGAGGACCUUUGGUAUCCCAAACCUGCAAAAGCUUGGGCUCCGAUAUUGUGGCGAGAGGUUCGGCCUCUACCCAUUUUGUGAAGUACUCUACUGCUACAACAACAAACUUUAACUGACCUCUUGCCACAGGGAAGGGGCCGAGGAUGUCAACUCCCCAUUGUUCAAACGGGGCCGAACAGUUAAUGUUGGUGAGGUCCUCGGCUGGUGAGUGGAUAAUAUUGCCAAACCUCUGGCACUUAUCACAAUUUUUAACAUAUUCUGAGGCGUCUUUUUUCAUAGUUGGCCAGUAGUAUCCAUAUCGUACGAGUUUAAAGGCCAAGGCCCUGGCUCCUUGAUGAUUCCCGCACACACCUUCGUGAACUUCAGCAAGGGCCUGGGAUGAUUCUGAUGGCCUGAGACACCUUAGGUACGGAAGAGUAAUACUUCUGCGGAAAAGGACACCGCUGAUCAUGCAGUACCUAGGAGCUCGGGCUCUGAUGCUUCUGGCCAACCUGGCAUCGCUUGGUAGACUUCCGUUUGUGAUGAAUUCUAUAAUCGGGUCCAUCCAGGAUGGUUCGUUGUCAAUGUCCAUGAUGUCGAGGGUUUGACUGAUGCUGGGUUCUGUGAUGAUUUUAAUGUGAACUGUUCUGUCAAGGCCGUCUACCCCCAUGAACAUAAGCCUGGAUAAUGCAUCGGCUUUUCCGUUGUCCUUUCGAGCAAUUUUUGUAAUUUCACAGCUCUUAAAUUUUCGCUGAAGAUCCUGAACCUUCAUACAGUACAAACUCAUUUUCUCCUCCUUCCUUUCAAAUGAUCCUUCAGUCUGUCCGACCACUAGCUGUGAAUCGCUGAAUACCUUUACGAACUCGAGCUCUAGGCAAAGGGCUAGUUCAAGAGCAAUAACGACGGCCUCAUACUCGGCCUCGUUGUUGGUUGCUUCAAACUCGAAUCUGAGAGCGCAUUGGAUCUCUGUUUGUUUGUCAGGGCUGAUGAUGAUGACCCCUGCGCCCGAGCCCGAGGAGUUCGAUGCUCCAUCCACAAAUAUUUGCCAAGUGUCCAAAUUAGUGCUCAUGCUCGAGCUCUCACCUGGCCCCCGAGGCCUAGGGGUUAGUUCUGCAAUGAAGUCGGCCAGAGCUUGGGCUUUGAUAGAUGGGCGUGGUUUGAAUUCUAUGUCAAAUUCCCCAAGCUCGAUUGCCCAUUUCAUCAGUCUUCCUGAUACGUCGGGCUUCUGAAGUAUAUGCCUAAGUGGUUGAUUAGUGAGCACCACAAUAGGGUGAGACUGAAAAUAUUGCCGGAGUUUCCUUGCUGCUAUAACCAAGGCAAAGGCAAGUUGUUCCGCCAAAGUAUACCUUGUUUCUGCAUCCAGUAGGACCUUGCUUACAUAGUAGAUAGGCUGUUGGACUUUGUUAACCUCUUUCACCAAGACCCCGCUGACAGCAUUUUGAGAUACGGCCAAGUACAGAAAUAAGGUGUCACCAGGCUCAGGCCUAGUGAGAAUUGGGGGAGAUGCCAAUAUCUGUUUGAGUUCCUGGAAAGCUUUCUCACAGUCUUCACUCCAAUCAAAGCCUUGGUUUCCUCUGAGGACUUUGAAGAAGGGGUAGCACCUGUCCGAUGCUCGGGACAUGAACCUGUUCAAGGCUGCUAUCCUACCGGUCAACCUCUGUACCUCUUUCUUGUUCCUUGGUGAUUCCAUAGAUGCCAAGGCUUGUAUUUUGUCAGGGUUGGCCUCUAUCCCCCGAUGAGUGAUCAUAAAACCCAAGAACUUUCCCGAGGCUACGCCGAAUGCACAUUUCGCGAGGUUCAACUUCAUUCCGUACUUUCGCAAGGUGUUGAACACGUCUUCAAGAUCUGAAAUAUGUUGGUCCACCUGCUUGCUCUUGACCACCAUGUCAUCAACGUACGCCUCCACAUUCCUUCCAAU